GUGUCAGCAGCCGCGGUAAUACGGAGGAUCCAAGCGUUGUCCGGAUUUAUUGGGUUUAAAGGGUGCGUAGGUGGAUAAUUAAGUCAGGGGUGAAAGCCUGCAGCUCAACUGUAGAACUGCCCUUGAAACUGAUUAUCUUGAGUGCGGUUGAGGUAGGCGGAAUGUGUCAUGUAGCGGUGAAAUGCUUAGAUAUGAUACAGAACACCAAUUGCGAAGGCAGCUUACUAAACCGUAACUGACACUGAGGCACGAAAGCAUGGGGAGCAAACAGGAUUAGAUACCCCAGUAGUCC
Molecule: ribosomal RNA, 292 nt
Filed under: uncultured bacterium
Lineage: Bacteria
Description: partial 16S ribosomal RNA
Rfam family: Bacterial small subunit ribosomal RNA
Source: RNAcentral